GACGAACGCUGGCGGCGUGCCUAAUACAUGCAAGUAGAACGCACAGUUUAUACCGUAGCUUGCUACACCAUAGACUGUGAGUUGCGAACGGGUGAGUAACGCGUAGGUAACCUGCCUGGUAGCGGGGGAUAACUAUUGGAAACGAUAGCUAAUACCGCAUAAUAUUGAUUAUUGCAUGAUAAUUGAUUGAAAGAUGCUAUUGCAUCACUACCAGAUGGACCUGCGUUGUAUUAGCUAGUAGGUGAGGUAACGGCUCACCUAGGCGACGAUACAUAGCCGACCUGAGAGGGUGAUCGGCCACACUGGGACUGAGACACGGCCCAGACUCCUACGGGAGGCAGCAGUAGGGAAUCAUCGGCAAUGGACGAAAGUCUGACCGAGCAACGCCGCGGGAGUGAAGAAGGUUUUCGGAUCGUAAAGCUCUGUUGUAAGAGAAGAACGGGUGUGAGAGUGGAAAGUUCACACUGUGACGGUAUCUUACCAGAAAGGGACGGCUAACUACGUG
This 505-nucleotide ribosomal RNA is filed under the name uncultured bacterium. Its description in RNAcentral is "partial 16S ribosomal RNA". It matches the Rfam family "Bacterial small subunit ribosomal RNA", at positions 28 to 507 of the family's 1533-position model. The record is from RNAcentral.